This 1142-nucleotide long non-coding RNA is filed under the name Heterocephalus glaber (naked mole-rat). Its description in RNAcentral is "lncRNA (ENSHGLG00100033845.1)". The record is from RNAcentral. Lineage: Eukaryota; Metazoa; Chordata; Mammalia; Rodentia; Bathyergidae.
CAGGAUCAGCUGAAAUGCUUUCUUCCUGGGCACCACUAGCCAAGAGGAGGCUGAGGCCCUGCCACGGGGCCGCGCACUGGCGUUUUCCCACGGUCUGCAUGGCAUAACGUGACAGGUGCCCUGCCCACGAACCCGACUUCAGAUGCACUGAGGAGCUGCGACUGCAGUCUGAGGACACUGAGCUGCUGAACACGCGCCCCCCUCACAGACUGGACUUCCACAGCUGCGCUGCUCAGGGCAGGGCCCAGGCCUCUAACUUCCGUGUCCCCUUCCAUGACGCGAGAUAAUGUGGGACCCCACCUUCAGGUGCGACAUCCAAGGCCGCCCUCGGCAGCUCUGGGCUCUCUGGGCUCGCCCGGUCCGCCUCACUGUCCGUCACCCGGGCCCUCUGAGGGAACUCAGCCAGGCAGUGGUCAGCCACCAGGAUGCCAAGACCUCUGCACUGUCCCCGCCCAGUGAAGCACCGGCUCGUCCCACUCCCAUUUGCUCUCUGCCCUUGUCUGCUUCCAUCCUCCCAAUAUACCAGCACCGGCCUCAUCUUCAUGAAGGUGAUGAUGAUGAUGAAGAGGGACAGGAGGAGCAGGAGGAGGAGAAGGAGCAGAAGGAGCAGGAGGAGGAGGAGCAGAAGCAGGAGGAGGAGCAGGAGGAGGAGGAGCAGAAGCAGGAGGAGAAGCAGGAGGAGGAGGAGCAGGAGCAGGAGCAGGAGGAGGAGCAGGAGGAGGAGCAAGAGGAGGAGCAGGAGGAGGAGGAGCAGCAGGUAGAGGAGCAGGUGGAGGAGCAGGAGCAGGAGCAGGAGCAGGAGGAGCAGGAGGAAAGCCAGCAUUGGAAACUACAGCACAACCCGCCACCCCUUCCCAUGGCCUUCUGUGAACCGCUCCAGACCAAGCACAGAGCCCGUGGCCGGUCCACGGAUGCUCUGCACCCUCCUGGCCUCUGUCAGCACCAUCUCGGUGCCGCCGCUCAUCCUUUCCUGCCACCCUGCCCUCGCCCUUCAUCCCUGCACAGAGCUCCUGCUUCCCAGCAUCCGUUUUCUCCUAAGCACCAUCCAGCUGGAUGCAAGCCCACUCCUGCAUGUGGCUCCUACACUAGACACCCGCAAUUCUGAAGGUCAGUUAGACUUCAAAUUCAUUAAAGAUCCAGGG